GCGAAAGCCUGACCGAUCGACGCCGCCUGAGCGAUGAAGGUCCUAUGGAUUGUACCGCUCUGUCAGAUUGCGAAUAACUCUUCGCGAUUAAUACCCGUGAAACUUGACGGUACCAUCAGAUCGAAGCACCGGUUAACUCCGUGCCACCAGCCGCGGUAAUACGGAUGGUGCGAGCGUUGUUCGGAUUCACUGCGUAUAAACGGUGCGUAAGCGUCCUCGUAAAUCACGUGUGAAAUAUGACCGGCUCAACCGUCUAACUGUCCCUUACACUGCUAUGUUUGAGUCCGGGAAAGGAAGGUGGAAUUCCUUGGUGUAGCGGCUUGAAACUGCGUAAAUCUCAGGACGGAACAACCGUGGCGGAAAUGCGAGCUUCUGGUCCGGUACUGAGCCCUUGAGGCACGAGCAAUCUAGUGGAGCUGAACAGGAUUUCGAUACCCUGGUAGUCCUAACCCGUAAACGAAUGUGCACUAGGUGUCGGAGGAGUCUACCCAUUCAGGUACCGCAGCUAAGGCACUUAAGUGCACCACCUGGGGAGUUCGAUCGCAAGGUUGAAACUCAAAGGAAUUGACGGGGGCCCGCACAAGCGGUGGAGCAUGUGAUCUAAUUCGACGCAACGCGAAGAACCGUACCUGGGCUCGACAUGCAGGGAACAGGUGCAGAAAUGUACCCUUCUUCGGACCCCUGUGCAGGUGCUGCAUGGCUGUCGUCAGCUCGUGUCGUGAAAUGUUGGGUUAAGUCCCGCAACGAGCGCAACCCACUGUCUUCAGUUGCCAUCAGUUCGGCUGGGGACUCUGGAGAGACUG
RNAcentral lists this ribosomal RNA (803 nucleotides) under uncultured organism. RNAcentral describes it as "bacterial SSU rRNA". It matches the Rfam family "Bacterial small subunit ribosomal RNA", at positions 375 to 1151 of the family's 1533-position model. The record is from RNAcentral.